AGUGAACGCUGGCGGUAGGCCUAACACAUGCAAGUCGAACGGCAGCACAGUAAGAGCUUGCUCUUACGGGUGGCGAGUGGCGUACGGGUGAGGAAUACAUCGGAAUCUACUUUUUCGUGGGGGAUAACGUAGGGAAACUUACGCUAAUACCGCAUACGACCUACGGGUGAAAGCAGUGGAUCUUCGCACCUUGCGGGAUUGAAUGAGCCGAUGUCGGAGUAGCUGGUUGGCGGGGUAACGGCCCACCAAGGCGACGAUCCGUAGCUGGACUGAGAGGAUGGUCGGCGACACGGGAACUGAGACAGGGUCAAGAGUCCUACGGGAGGCAGCAGUGGGGAAUAUUGGACAGUGGGCGCAAGCCUGAUCCAGCCAUACCGCGUGGGUGAAGAAGGCCUUCGGGUUGGAAAGCCCUUUUGUUGGGAAAGAAAAGCAGCAGGUUAAUACCCCGCUGUUCUGACGGUACCCAAAGAAUAAGCACCGGCUAACUUCGUG
Molecule: ribosomal RNA, 492 nt
Filed under: uncultured bacterium
Lineage: Bacteria
Description: partial 16S ribosomal RNA
Rfam family: Bacterial small subunit ribosomal RNA
Source: RNAcentral